AAUCAUCGAAUCUUUGAACGCAAAUUGCGCUCUCGGGUUACCCCCAAGAGCACACCUCUCUGAGUGUCGGUUUAACCUCAUGUCACCAAUUUAUUGGUGUACGACAGUCUGAGGGUAAGGGGUCUCACGAUUCCUUUCCCUUUAAAUUCUCAGCCGCACGACUGUGUGUGUUGGUGGCAAGUUGGUUUCACUUAACUGUGAAUUCAAUCCAUUGACCCUAUGUCGAGUAGCACAAAAGAAACAUAUGAACAAAGGUGGAAGCUUAAAAAUGUGCCUGCUACAAAGAGAUGUGAGAACAAAAGGACCACAGCAAUCCCUAGUAAAUCAUUGUGAGGAAAGUUAUUGAUUUAGGGACCUCUGUGUAAACUUGUUCAAGUGUUUUGGCGGAGUAGAUGUGUUUUUUUGCCAACAACUUUGAGUCAUCUAUGAAUUAGACCUCAGAUGAAGUGGGAAGACCCCCUGAAUUUAAGCAUAUUAUUAAGGGGAGGAAAAGAAACUAACAAGGAUUCCCCUAGUAACGGCGAGUGAAGCGGGAAAAGCUCAAAUUUAAAAUCCACUGGUCUAACAGCCUGUGGAGUUGUAAUCUAGAGAGGCUCUCUCAGUGCCAGCCUGGUUAUAAGUCCCUUGAAACGGGGCAUCAAAGAGGGUGAGAAUCCCGUAUUUGAGCCGGAGCUAAGUACGUACGAGGAGUUUUCUAAGAGUCGCGUUGCUUGGGAGUGCAGCGCUAAAUGGGUGGUAAAGUUCAUCUAAAGCUAAAUACUGGCGAGAGACCGAUAGCGAACAAGUACCGUGAGGGAAAGAUGAAAAGAACUUUGAAAAGAGAGUUAAAAAGUACUUGAAAUUGUUAACAGGGAAGGGGAGUCAACCAGUCAUUUCUAAGCUUCAUUCGCUUUUCCUUCGGGAGGAGUUACUUGAGGCUAAGAAGGGUCAGCAUCACUUAGACUGUCUUCGUAGAAAUUGUAUGAGUUGGUGCGUUUCUUCGGAUUCGUUUUAGCUUGUAUAACCUACAUUGAUGCUGGGUGAGGAGUGAUAACCCCCCGCCUUCGGGCGUCGGUACCUUGAUGCCUGUUUGCCCUAGCGCGUGAGAGAACAAAGUUCUGUCUGUGCGAAAGGUGAAUACUGCGUUAGGUGUGCCA
This 1136-nucleotide ribosomal RNA is filed under the name uncultured fungus. RNAcentral describes it as "eukaryotic LSU rRNA". The stretch from base 433 to 1136 matches the Rfam family "Eukaryotic large subunit ribosomal RNA", at positions 1 to 605 of the family's 3401-position model. Lineage: Eukaryota; Fungi. The record is from RNAcentral.